ACCUUACCUAUUGUUGCUUCGGCGGA
Molecule: ribosomal RNA, 26 nt
Filed under: Paramyrothecium roridum
Lineage: Eukaryota; Fungi; Ascomycota; Sordariomycetes; Hypocreales; Stachybotryaceae
Description: partial 18S ribosomal RNA
Source: RNAcentral